This 381-nucleotide ribosomal RNA is filed under the name Pediococcus pentosaceus. Its description in RNAcentral is "bacterial SSU rRNA". It matches the Rfam family "Bacterial small subunit ribosomal RNA", at positions 88 to 463 of the family's 1533-position model. The record is from RNAcentral. Lineage: Bacteria; Bacillati; Bacillota; Bacilli; Lactobacillales; Lactobacillaceae.
GAAGUGAGUGGCGAACGGGUGAGUAACACGUGGGUAACCUGCCCAGAAGUAGGGGAUAACACCUGGAAACAGAUGCUAAUACCGUAUAACAGAGAAAACCGCAUGGUUUUCUUUUAAAAGAUGGCUCUGCUAUCACUUCUGGAUGGACCCGCGGCGUAUUAGCUAGUUGGUGAGGUAAAGGCUCACCAAGGCAGUGAUACGUAGCCGACCUGAGAGGGUAAUCGGCCACAUUGGGACUGAGACACGGCCCAGACUCCUACGGGAGGCAGCAGUAGGGAAUCUUCCACAAUGGACGCAAGUCUGAUGGAGCAACGCCGCGUGAGUGAAGAAGGGUUUCGGCUCGUAAAGCUCUGUUGUUAAAGAAGAACGUGGGUAAGAGUA